UUUUCAUCCAGUGAGGACACAGGGAGAAGAUGGUCAUUAGCGACCAGGAAGAGGGUCCCCCCACCAGAACCCCAUGCUGGCACCUGAUCUCGACUUCCGGCCUCCAGAAAUCUUUGAGAAGCAGAUAGGCUUGAAUGAGCAUGGAAUGUAUCUAUUUAAAAAGCAGCUGGAAGUCUGUCAAGUGCAUUCUGGAAAUGGAUUCAGGCUAACAGAGUGUUCUGAAUAGAGACGCCUAAAACAAGUAAGUAUGAUCUGUUAUCAAUGCAUUAUCACUUUAUGGUAUACGAUUGAUUUUCUUAAGUAUGUGAUUGUAGUGUCUAUAAUUUUGUGUUUUUGUACUUAGCAACCCUUUUUCAUAUAGAUGGAAUCAGAAUAAAUUUCAUCCUAGUUCUAUUUCCAAAAUAUUAUUGGUGCCCCUAGUUGUACUGCCUGAGUGUUGUCAGAUCAAGGCUUACAAACUCACGGGCGAUGCUGCAGAAUGAGUGACAACAGAUAAUGCCAAUUGCCCAGAUUGAAUCCAGCAAGAAAUGACAUUGGAAUGGCUCUACCUUGUGGAGGGAACUGUCCAGUGCAGAGGACCUGCCUGAGUA
Homo sapiens (human) is the source of this 590-nucleotide long non-coding RNA. Ensembl annotates it as long intergenic non-protein coding RNA 1127. The record is from Ensembl. Lineage: Eukaryota; Metazoa; Chordata; Mammalia; Primates; Hominidae.